RNAcentral lists this ribosomal RNA (253 nucleotides) under uncultured bacterium. RNAcentral's name for it is "partial 16S ribosomal RNA". It matches the Rfam family "Bacterial small subunit ribosomal RNA", at positions 524 to 776 of the family's 1533-position model. The record is from RNAcentral.
UACGUAGGUGGCAAGCGUUGUCCGGAAUUAUUGGGCGUAAAGCGCGCGCAGGUGGUUUCUUAAGUCUGAUGUGAAAGCCCACGGCUCAACCGUGGAGGGUCAUUGGAAACUGGGGAACUUGAGUGCAGGAGAGAAGAGUGGAAUUCCACGUGUAGCGGUGAAAUGCGUAGAGAUGUGGAGGAACACCAGUGGCGAAGGCGACUCUUUGGCCUGUAACUGACACUGAGGCGCGAAAGCUAGGGUAGCAAACGGG